RNAcentral lists this transfer RNA (90 nucleotides) under Oligoflexia bacterium. RNAcentral's name for it is "tRNA-Ser". Lineage: Bacteria; Pseudomonadati; Bdellovibrionota; Oligoflexia. The record is from RNAcentral.
GGAAGAUUGACAGAGUGGGAAUGUGCCUUUUUGCUAAAAAGAGUCCUACCUUGAUCGGUAGCGGGAGUUCAAUCCUCUCAUCUUCCGCCA